UAGGUACAGUAGCCCGGAGUAUGUAGAGGUUGGGAGAGGACAGUAGGCUGGAGUAUGUAGAGGUUGGGAGAGGACAGUAGGAACAGUAGGCUGGAGUAUGUAGAGGUUGGGAGAGGACAGUAGGUACAGUAGCCUGGAGUAUGUAGAGGUUGGGAGAGGACCGUAGGAACAGUAGGCUGGAGUAUGUAGAGGUUGGGAGAGGACAGUAGGUACAGUAGGCUGGAGUAUGUAGAGGUUGGGAGAGGACAGUAGGUACAGUAGCCUGGAGUAUGUAGAGGUUGGGAGAGGACCGUAGGAACAGUAGGCUGGAGUAUGUAGAGGUUGGGAGAGGACCGUAGGAACAGUAGGCUGGAGUAUGUAGAGGUUGGGAGAGGACAGUAGGUACAGUAGGCUGGAGUAUGUAGAGGUUGGGAGAGGACAGUAGGUACAGUAGCCUGGAGUAUGUAGAGGUUGGGAGAGGACAGUAGGCUGGAGUAUGUAGAGGUUGGGAGAGGACAGUAGGUACAGUAGGCUGGAGUAUGUAGAGGUUGGGAGAGGACAGUAGGUACAGUAGGCUGGAGUAUGUAGAGGUUGGGAGAGGACAGUAGGUACAGUAGGCUGGAGUAUGUAGAGGUUGGGAGAGGACAGUAGGUACAGUAGGCUGGAGUAUGUAGAGGUUGGGAGAGGACAGUAGGCUGGAGUAUGUAGAGGUUGGGAGAGGACCGUAGGAACAGUAGGCUGGAGUAUGUAGAGGUUGGGAGAGGACAGUAGGUACAGUAGCCUGGAGUAUGUAGAGGUUGGGAGAGGACCGUAGGAACAGUAGGCUGGAGUAUGUAGAGGUUGGGAGAGGACAGUAGGUACAGUAGGCUGGAGUAUGUAGAGGUUGGGAGAGGACCGUAGGAACAGUAGGCUGGAGUAUGUAGAGGUUGGGAGAGGACAGUAGGUACAGUAGGCUGGAGUAUGUAGAGGUUGGGAGAGGACAGUAGGUACAGUAGGCUGGAGUAUGUAGAGGUUGGGAGAGGACCGUAGGUACAGUAGGCUGGAGUAUGUAGAGGUUGGGAGAGGACCGUAGGUACAGUAGGCUGGAGUAUGUAGAGGUUGGGAGAGAACAGUAGCUCAGUAGGCUGGAGUAUGUAGAGGUUGGGAGAGGACAGUAGGUACAGUAGCCUGGAGUAUGUAGAGGUUGGGAGAGGACAGUAGGAACAGUAGGCUGGAGUAUAUAGAGGUUGGGAGAGGACAGUAGGAACAGUAGGCUGGAGUAUGUAGAGGUUGUGAGAGGACAGUAGGUACAGUAGGCUGGAGUAUGUAGAGGUUGGGAGAGGACAGUAGGAACAGUAGGCUGGAGUAUGUAGAGGUUGUGAGAGGACAGUAGGUACAGUAGGCUGGAGUAUGUAGAGGUUGGGAGAGGACAGUAGGUCAGUAGGCUGGAGUAUGUAGAGGUUGGGAGAGGAUCAGUAGGUACAGUAGACUGGAGUAUGUAGAGGUUGGGAGAGGACAGUAGGUACAGUAGACUGGAGUAUGUAGAGGUUGGGAGAGGACAGUAGGCUGGAGUAUGUAGAGGUUGGGAGAGGACAGUAGGAACAGUAGGCUGGAGUAUGUAGAGGUUGGGAGAGGACAGUAGGAACAGUAGGCUGGAGUAUGUAGAGGUUGGGAGAGGACAGUAGGCUGGAGUAUGUAGAGGUUGGGAGAGGACAGUAGGAACAGUAGGCUGGAGUAUGUAGAGGUUGGGAGAGGACAGUAGGAACAGUAGGCUGGAGUAUGUAGAGGUUGGGAGAGGACAGUAGGCUGGAGUAUGUAGAGGUUGGGAGAGGACAGUAGGCUGGAGUAUGUGGAGGUUGGGAGAGGACAGUAGGCUGGAGUAUGUUGAGGUUGGGAGAGGACAGUAGGUACAGUAGGCUGGAGUAUGUAGAGGUUGGGAGAGGACAUUAGGUACAGUAGGCUGGAGUAUGUAGAGGUUGGGAGAGGACAGUAGGAACAGUAGGCUGGAGUAUGUAGAGGUUGGGAGAGGACAGUAGGUACAGUAGGCUGGAGUAUGUAGAGGUUGGGAGAGGACAGUAUGUACAGUAGCCUGGAGUAUGUAGAGGUUGGGAGAGGACAGUAGGUACAGUAGGCUGGAGUAUGUAGAGGUUGGGAGAGGACAGUAGGUACAGUAGGCUGGAGUAUGUAGAGGUUGGGAGAGGACAGUAGGUACAGUAGCCUGGAGUAUGUAGAGGUUGGGAGAGGACAGUAGGUACAGUAGGCUGGAGUAUGUAGAGGUUGGGAGAGGACAGUAGGCUGGAGUAUGUAGAGGUUGGGAGAGGACAGUAGGAACAGUAGACUGGAGUAUGUAUAGGUUGGGAGAGGACAGUAGGUACAGUAGGCUGGAGUAUGUAGAGGUUGGGAGAGGACAGUAGGCUGGAGUAUGUAGAGGUUGGGAGAGGACAGUAGGUACAGUAGCCUGGAGUAUGUAGAGGUUAGGAGAGGACAGUAGGUACAGUAGGCUGGAGUAUGUAGAGGUUGGGAGAGGACAGUAGACUGGAGUAUGUAGAGGUUGGGAGAGGACAGUAGGAACAGUAGGCUGGAGUAUGUAGAGGUUGGGAGAGGACAGUAGGAACAGUAGGCUGGAGUAUGUAGAGGUUGGGAGAGGACAGUAGGUACAGUAGGCUGGAGUAUGUAGAGGUUGGGAGAGGACAGUAGGAACAGUAGACUGGAGUAUGUAGAGGUUGGGAGAGGACAGUAGGCUGGAGUAUGUAGAGGUUGGGAGAGGACAGUAGGAACAGUAGACUGGAGUAUGUAGAGGUUGGGAGAGGACAGUAGGAACAGUAGGCUGGAGUAUGUAGAGGUUGGGAGAGGACAGUAGGAACAGUAGGCUGGAGUAUGUAGAGGUUGGGAGAGGACAGUAGACUGGAGUAUGUAGAGGUUGGGAGAGGACAGUAGGCUGGAGUAUGUAGAGGUUGGGAGAGGACAGUAGGAACAGUAGGCUGGAGUAUGUAGAGGUUGGGAGAGGACAGGAGGCUGGAGUAUGUAGAGGUUGGGAGAGGACAGUAGGAACAGUAGGCUGGAGUAUGUAGAGGUUGGGAGAGGACAGUAGACUGGAGUAUGUAGAGGUUGGGAGAGGACAGUAGGCUGGAGUAUGUAGAGGUUGGGAGAGGACAGUAGACUGGAGUAUGUAGAGGUUGGGAGAGGACAGUAGGUACAGUAGGCUGGAGUAUGUAGAGGUUGGGAGAGGACAGUAGGAACAGUAGGCUGGAGUAUGUAGAGGUUGGGAGAGGACAGUAGGAACAGUAGGCUGGAGUAUGUAGAGGUUGGGAGAGGACAGUAGGUACAGUAGCCUGGAGUAUGUAGAGGUUGGGAGAGGACAGUAGGCUGGAGUAUGUAGAGGUUGGGAGAGGACAGUAGGUACAGUAGACUGGAGUAUGUAGAGGUUGGGAGAGAACAGUAGGAACAGUAGCCUGGAGUAUGUAGAGGUUAGGAGAGGACAGUAGGUACAGUAGGCUGGAGUAUGUAGAGGUUGGGAGAGGACAGUAGGAACAGUAGGCUGGAGUAUGUAGAGGUUGGGAGAGGACAGUAGGUACAGUAGCCUGGAGUAUGUAGAGGUUGGGAGAGGACAGUAGACUGGAGUAUGUAGAGGUUGGGAGAGGACAGUAGGUACAGAAGGCUGGAGUAUGUAGAGGUUGGGAGAGGACAGUAGGUACAGUAGGCUGGAGUAUGUAGAGGUUGGGAGAGGACAGUAGGUACAGUAGGCUGGAGUAUGUAGAGGUUGGGAGAGGACAGUAGGUACAGUAGGCUGGAGUAUGUAGAGGUUGGGAGAGGACAGUAGUACAGUAGCCUGGAGUAUGUAGAGGUUGGGAGAGGACAGUAGGUACAGUAGGCUGGAGUAUGUAGAGGUUGGGAGAGGACAGUAGGUACAGUAGGCUGGAGUAUGUAGAGGUUGGGAGAGGACAGUAGGUACAGUAGGCUGGAGUAUGUAGAGGUUGGGAGAGGACAGUAGGUACAGUAGCCUGGAGUAUGUAGAGGUUGGGAGAGGACAGUAGGUACAGUAGGCUGGAGUAUGUAGAGGUUGGGAGAGGACAGUAGGAACAGUAGGCUGGAGUAUGUAGAGGUUGGGAGAGGACAGUAGGCUGGAGUAUGUAGAGGUUGGGAGAGGUCAGUAGAUUAUGGCCCCUUUCUCUCUCUUUUCUCCUUCUCUGACACUCUUGCCGUCUUCAUUGUCACGUCUCUCUCUGUCCUGUUUCCUGUCCCCAUCAUGGGGCACUGGGAGGAGGCAGAGCCUAUCAGGUCCUUGCGGCACCUAACACCACUGUGACACCUCUUUAUAAAGUAACAGAAUAUAAGGCGAGUGACAACAGCCUGUCUCCACCAGCCAGCUCCUGACAA
Salvelinus fontinalis (brook trout) is the source of this 4335-nucleotide long non-coding RNA. RefSeq lists it as uncharacterized. The record is from RefSeq and is a predicted model, not a curated record. Lineage: Eukaryota; Metazoa; Chordata; Actinopteri; Salmoniformes; Salmonidae. The transcript has 7 exons.